GGUCGAACGAGAUAUCGGUUAUCUAAAUUCCCUUGAAAUGAAUAAAGGCAGGUUCGAAUCCUGCAUCGCCCA
Molecule: transfer RNA, 72 nt
Filed under: Streptomyces phage Mildred21
Lineage: Duplodnaviria; Heunggongvirae; Uroviricota; Caudoviricetes; Stanwilliamsviridae
Description: tRNA-Ser
Rfam family: tRNA
About the family: Transfer RNA (tRNA) molecules are approximately 80 nucleotides in length. Their secondary structure includes four short double-helical elements and three loops (D, anti-codon, and T loops).
Source: RNAcentral